GUCUUGGUUGCUCAGUUGGUAGAGUGCAAGACUCUUAAUCUCAGGACCAUAGGUUCGAGCCCCAUGCUGGGCA
This is a non-coding RNA of Podarcis lilfordi (Lilford's wall lizard), 73 nucleotides long. NCBI's taxonomy places the organism in Eukaryota, Metazoa, Chordata, Lepidosauria, Squamata, Lacertidae. The record is from the annotation of a GenBank genome assembly.